RNAcentral lists this long non-coding RNA (4635 nucleotides) under Malus domestica (apple). RNAcentral describes it as "long non-coding RNA (MDOM_LNC002006)". Lineage: Eukaryota; Viridiplantae; Streptophyta; Magnoliopsida; Rosales; Rosaceae. The record is from RNAcentral.
UCGUCUUGACGUGCCUUAUCUGUCUCAUAGGUAGAUGGGGCAUCUUCUCUGGAAGUACUCUUCCUCCAUCCAGGGGUGGUAUCUUUAACUGGUGGAGAUGCACAUGGUAAUGUAUCAAUUUCACUUGAAGCUUACUUGUAGUUUCAGGCUUGGUCAAGCGCGAUACAAACCAUGUAGUAGGAGUCCCCCAAGUCGUCGAGCUAGGGGAUCUGGACAAACUAUAUAGAAUUAUUAUCUGAUAUACUAUUGCAAAUAUGCCUCUAUAACACACAAAACAUUGAAUUCCAUUACCUUGUUGUUAUUGACCUCUUUCUCAGUCAGAAUCGCCAGAGCUUCCAAACCGUCGACUAGGACCAUGUCGCCUUCGCGCACCCGUGGGUAGAGCUGAAGAGGAGAUUCAGAAUUAUAAUACAUCAUACUGACAGAUUCUAAGACACAUUUCAUCGAACACCUAAUGUGCCACAUUCUCAUAUGCUUUCUUGUAAGAUUAAUUGAAGAACAGUAAGUGUUUGAACAAAAUUAACUUCUAGAUGAGUAAUUUAACAGAAAAGAAGCAAUAAAAGAACCCAGAAAUCUUUAAUGAAGAACAAUACUUAGUAUUUGAACAAAAUUAAUUUCUAGAUGAGUAAUUUAACAGAGAAUAAGCAAAAAGAAACCCAAAAAUCUUGAAAAAAAUUGUCAAUAAGAUUGAGCUCAAAAACUUGAAAUCUCAUUGAAACAGCUUUUCAGGUGUUUACAGCUUACAUAUGCAUGAUAACAAAAAGAAGCAUCCUUUCUUCACUAAUUGGACACUAACAGAAAAACCCUAAUUCAUAUUAUUCAGAUUACAAAUACACGAGACCAAAUAGCUAAGAAAGCUGGAAAACUUGACCCCAAUCAAACACAAAUAUUGUUCUGGUUAUACAUGCGAUACCCACCUAACAUAUCAACCAAUUCCAAAUUGAAAUGGAAAAUGAAAUGAAGCAACAUAAAUUGAAUACAAUUUGGGGAAAAUUAUCUCACCUAGAGCUCCAAAUCUCCAAGAGUUCCCGAUCCGAGUAGCCUCCGAAUUGGGUUGUUGAAGAUGGUGAUCAAGGAAUGGUUUUGGAGGUGGGUUUGAUCAGAUCAAAGGCUAAGCCAUUAGGUUUGGAGGGAAAAGAACACAGAGCUACUGCAAGAGAGAGAGAGAGAGAGAGAGAGAAAGAAAGAGAAAGAAAGAAAGAGCAUGUGUUGUCCUUUUCUUCUAUCCAGCCACUGGAUCGCAGUUCCAUCACAAAAAUUAUAUGUAUGUGUUAGUUUUUAAAGUUCUAGUUUUGCAAUCGACUUAAGAACACCAUAAUCGAAGAGUUCGAAGGGAUUUACCUUUGGAUGCUAUCGGAAUGAGUUCUUGUGUGUGGGCCUGCAACUUCGUUUGCAGGCGUGAUGUUUCCAUGAAAUUUCUCUCGGGUUUACAUAGAGAGCAAAGCGAGAGAGCUCUCCAGAUUUUGAGCAAAAUCCCCCUAAACUACGAUGUAGAUAGCUUCAGCUGGGAUACAUGUAAACAAAUUCAAAGCUCAAGACCUUAAACUGAGCUCUUGGAAAUCUCACUUCAAUUAAGCAGUUUUUCAGAUGUUUACAGCUUAAAUAUGCAUGAUAACAAAAAAGAGGCAUCCUUUCUUAACCAAUCAGACACUAACAGAAAAAACCCUAAUUCAUAUUAUUCAGAUUACAAAUACACAGGCGACCAAAUAGCUAGGACAAUUUAACCCUAAUCCAACACAAAAAUUGUUGUGGUUAUACAUGCAAUACCCGCCUAAAAUAUCAACAAUUCCAAAUUAAAAUGGAAAAUGAAAUGAAGCAACAUAGAUUGAAUACAAUUUGGGGAAAAAUUAUGUCACCUGGAGCUUUGAAUCUCCAAGAGGUCCCAAUCCGAGCAGGCUUCGAAUUGGGCCGAUGCCAUUAGGUUUAGGGGGAGAGGAACACAGAGCUAUUGUGAGAGAGAGAGAGAGCAUGCGUUGUCCCUUUCUUCUAUACAGCCACUGGACCGUAGUUCCUUCACAAAAAAAAUUAUAUGCAUGUGUUAGUUUUUCAAGUUCUAGUCUUGCAAUCGACUAAAGAACACCGUAAUCGAAGAGUUGAAAGGGGUAUCGCACUUCUGAGCUUCUUCUUCUUCUAUAACACCUUUUGGUCCUCCUCAUCGCCUAAUUCCUCAUCAUCUACACGCCAACACUACCUCUAGAAGAGCCUUACCAAUAACCAAGUUAAUAAGCAUAAGUUCAAACAUUAAACGAAUAUAAAAUGAUAUAUGUACGAAAAAAAUGUUCCAUUUUUACAUGAACAACUAAGCAAAAGUAUUAUUACAACUAAGCAUAAAUUUUGAGGACAAAUCUAAACCAGAUGCUUUCAUCAUUAACACAAAUAACCAUCUAUAUGAAUACUAAUUGCAUACUCCCUCAAGGUCCUAUGGAUAACUAUGAAUGUUUUCAAAUUCAACUGCCAAUGACAAACACAAAAAUAAUACAAAAAGUUUAACAUGAAUCAAAACAUAUGUAUUCGAAAUGGUAAGCAUAUUAAUCCAUAAGAUAUUGAUGAUUCACAUACAACCAAUAAGAAAAGUAUCAUAUAAGUGUUGAAUCGUCCCUUGUAAAUUCGAGCAACAUUGAAUGGGACCAAUAGAUGACCAUUGGUGAAAACUUCAGAAUAGUUAAAAAUAAAUACACUUAUCAGCGGCAGAGAACAUCAGUAGACCACCUCUACUUUAAACCCAACUACAAAAAGUGCACAAAAUGCAAGGAUUAACCUCUUUUAGAAAAUGAAGGAAGAAAUACUAAAGCUUAAGCCAACGAAUAUAACCGUAUUAAACUCAAAAUAUUUGACAUUAAUGACACAAAUUCAAUCCCGUAUAACCAGGCAUAAACUUUAUCCUAGAGACACAUAGUGCUACAACCAUUACAUUUGGAAAACCAGACGUCUUCUAAGUAAAGCAACAUGAUCUCCUAAUUCAACUAAAUUUUCCAAUGAACCAGAAUCAAUAACGAAGAUAAUCAAGAUGUAAACGAUGGACUAUUGAACAUAUUUUGAACACCCACUUUACAUGUGAAAACAAUCACCAUCAACCUUGUAACCUGAAUCAAGCUGGUUUCACAUAUGCCAAUAGAAAACCAAAAUAUCAGUGUUUGUGAAGUUACCUUAUGUGAAAUGUUAGAAGUAUCUGGUGUAUGUAAAUGGUAGAACUUGUAAAACCUUAGUUUCAAAUGAUGCUUUAGCUCUUUCAUUCAUUUCUUCAAUGACUUUUCUUCGGGCUUUCCUGGCAUAUAAAAUACUGAAUAGGAAAGAGAAAUAUUAAAGUUCUACCACUAAAAUACAGAGUAUACUUUUAGAUAAAUAUGAUUCAAAUACCCAAAUUUAAUUUAUGAUAUCUGACACGUCCCAACCCCGAUAUUCUGAAUACCCGGAUAGGCACGUGUUGACCGACACCUGAGGGUGACGAAAGCCAUUUAUUGAUUACAAGAGUAAUGAUUAGGAAGAACAUAAGCAUGAAUAGUCAUUAGAAUUUAAGAGUAACAAAAAAAGUUUAAGGAAAUGUCUAGAGUGCACAUAACACGAUCUAAUUCAAGAUUCACAAAAAGGAAAGAUCAUUACAGAUAUCACACAAGUGGGUGAUAGAUUGCUACUGGUAGGGGAAUGCCUUGUACGCCGUGUCAUAGUCCUCGUUUCUAAGACCUGAAUGGGGGCGCAAAACAAAGGUGAGUAAACCAAGUUUAUAUAUGCAAUAAUAAUAAAACAGUUAUCAAGAUACUAACCCCUACAGUUUAUAUAAAGAAAACUACUAGCAUAAUAGGUGAUAGGUUUAAUAAAAAUCCUAGCAUGCCAAAAAAUAUCUCAAGAGACAUAUCGUGGAACACGAAAUAUCAAACGUCUCAUAAAUCAUCUCGUAGUGCAAUGUACUACUAGUAAGAUCACUGAAUAAAUAUAUCUCCUGGUCCUAUGCCAGCACCGUGGUCUUUGUGCCCGUAGCUAGAGAUUACCAACUCCCGGCCCAAUGCCUGCUCCGUGUCCCAUAGCCCGUAGCUAGGGAUUAUUUCUCUCGGUCUAUCUGCCAACACCAGAUCCUCACCCCAGGCAGCAUAGUGUCUACUAGGUACGCACAAAUAGUUACGCCUCUCAUAAAUAACCACUUCAUAGUAUAAAGUCAUCAAUCGUCUAUACUAUAAAGAGGGGUUUCUAAAACAUGUUCUAGCAUCCUAUUGUCAUCCAUCAGAUAGUCUACCAGUUCAAGGUUUUUAUAGAAAAUACAACAUAUUAAAAUGUAGCUCAAUAUAGGCCAACAAUUAAUUCCUCACAAAAAAUGAGACGAUAAACAACAUAUUUCAUAAACUUGCUUAACAUAAAACUCAGUUCAUAAAUUUGUAAGGCAAGCAUUUAAUUUAUGCAGUUGAACUAUGAAAUUAUGCAAAUUUUAGAAAAGGUCCACUCACAGAUACUCCUUAGCAGUAGAGUUGUGCGGAUAAGGAUUACGAAUUCCCUCACUAGCAACAUCACCUAAGAACAAAAAUGUAAUAAAUAAAUAAAAGGAUUUUCUAAAGGAUUUGGGCUUGAACUAAAUAAAAUAAAGGAUUUGGGUUGGAUGGGUUAGGGUCUAAUGGGUUAAAAGGGUUUAGGGUGAAGAAGGGUGGU